CAAAAGUUCAAGGCCAAUCAGGCAACGUGGUCAGAGUCUACCAUCCCCUAAAAGAAAAGAAACUGAAUUGUUACAAAUAACCCAGAUUUGACUGAUCGCAUCUGUCUCCAAGGUGUUAUUUCUUCUGCUCUCUAUAGCCUUGCUGCUGAAAUGCUGUCCGCAGACCAGAAGCAUCCCAUCACCAGGGGGUUUGUUAGAAACACGGAAUCUUGGACACCUCUUUGAAUCUACUGAAUCAGAAUCUGCAUUUUUUUUCUUGUUUAAAUUCUUUCAAUGGUACAUUUUAGGGCCAAGAUCAAAGGACAGCCCCAGUUUGAGACACAGCAGAGGAAAAGAGGAUGACAAAACCAG
This 351-nucleotide long non-coding RNA is filed under the name Heterocephalus glaber (naked mole-rat). Its description in RNAcentral is "lncRNA (ENSHGLG00000034606.1)". Lineage: Eukaryota; Metazoa; Chordata; Mammalia; Rodentia; Bathyergidae. The record is from RNAcentral.